GUUUUUUAAUAGAUUAUGAGUCUCCAAAGAGAAAGUGGAACAGGCCAGGCACUGAGUCUCCUGAAGCUUUACAUUAACUUUUACAAAAUGAACAGCAGGAUGUGAUGGGUGGAAUUGUAUCCCCUCCACCCCCACCCCCAAAAAGGUACGCUGAAGUUCUAAAUCCCCAGGAUCUGAGAAUGUGACCGCAUGUGGAAAUAGGGUUGUUGAAGAUGUAAUUAGUGAAGAUGAGGUCAUACUGGAGUAGCAUAGGCCCUUAAACAGUAUGACUGGUGUCUUCACAAAAAGACGAGAAGCACAGAGGAGACUGUCAUGUGCAGAGACAGAGACACAAAGGAGGAGAUGGUCACAUGAAGAUGGAGGCAGAGAUUGGAGUGAUGCAUCUACAAGCCAAGGAACCAAGGAUUACCUGCAAACACCAGCAGCAAGAAGAGGCAAGAUUGGAUUCUCCCCUAUAACUUUCAGAGGGAGCAUGGUCCUGCCAACACCUUGAUUUCAGACUUCCAGCCUCCAGAACAGUAAGACGAUGCAAACUGAGUUAUUUCUAACAGAACCAUCAUGACUUGAACACUGGAACCAUCCAGUCAACCUCAAGAGUUGCCCAGAGGAUCACAUGGAAAAGAGAACGACUACGUGCUUACCAUCUGUUUCCCAUAUGCCUGAGAAAAGAUCCAGAAAAUCCAAAUUCUCAGGGCAGCUGGCCUUCAAAUCAGUCACCAGAGAGAGAAGUGCUUCCUGCCGCUGGCUAAACUAACCACACUGCAGUAAAUACACCUCUUGUUCAAUGAGGGCUUGAACUUGCCCCUCUGGAGAGUAGAUGUCCACAUGCAUCAGCCCAUGCAGCCACGCGCCCGGGAGACACCGAGGCCAGGAAAGCAAUGGUUUUACUUCUUUGCUUUCAAAAGGUUGUAUUGAAAUAAAGACCGAAGAUAAUAUGGGAACAAUUUCUGCACAACACAUAAUUAUUCGGCUUAGCAAAUAUUUUAAAAAUAAGCUAGGAGACAAAGUAUAGGCACUGCCAUUGACUGCCCCUGUGUUCUCACAGAGGAGAAAAUACAAGGGAAAAGGGAAAGGUGGGAUGUGAUAGGGCUUCUCUCUUCAUUCUAAAUAGUGAACUCAGAGUUUGAAAAUACAAGAUGAACUGGAAGCCAUUCUCUUGCCAGCCUCCUGCCUUCACUCAUCAACUUCACAAUUUCUCCAAGGAGCCCUACCAUGCCCACGUCCCCCACCCACCUCCCUCCCCAGCCUCCCUCUCUCACCUCCAGCACCUCUCACCUCUCAGCACCACUGGAGAUGGGAGGGAGCUGGGAGAAGCAGUUUUUUCCUGUUACACAUGGACUGAACAGCUCUGAGGACCAAAAUAGAAUGAAAGUCCCCACGCCUGGAGUGAGAUCCAAUCUCCUGCAUCGGCCUGCUUCCUGCCCCUCCAGGCUCACUUCUCCCCAGAGUGGGCUCCAAUCCCCUUGGCCUUCUUACUGGGAGCUCCAGGCUUCAGACCUGCCGUGGCCCCUGCCUGGAACAUUCUUCCCCCAAAUAGUCACUGGGCUCCCUUCCUCCCAUCAUUAAGCUGCUGCCCAAAUAGCACUUCCUUCCACUGUGUGCCGGCCAGCGCCUGCCAGCCCGGCCACUCUCCAUCACAUUGCCUUGCUUUAUUGUCCCUCGUGGUGUUCAUCACCAACUAGC
This is a long non-coding RNA of Physeter macrocephalus (sperm whale), 1683 nucleotides long. RefSeq lists it as uncharacterized. Lineage: Eukaryota; Metazoa; Chordata; Mammalia; Artiodactyla; Physeteridae. The transcript has 3 exons. The record is from RefSeq and is a predicted model, not a curated record.